This 400-nucleotide ribosomal RNA is filed under the name uncultured Acidobacteriota bacterium. RNAcentral's name for it is "bacterial SSU rRNA". It matches the Rfam family "Bacterial small subunit ribosomal RNA", at positions 127 to 531 of the family's 1533-position model. The record is from RNAcentral. Lineage: Bacteria; Pseudomonadati; Acidobacteriota.
UACCCUCUAGUGGGGAAUACCGCUGGGAAACCGGCGACAAUACCGCAUAAGCUCGAGAGAGGAAAGCAGCAAUGCGCUGGAGGAGGAGUCCGCGGUCGAUUAGGCCCCCGGCAGGGUAAAACGCCUACCAAGACUGUGAUCGAUAGCCGGCCUGAGAGGGCACACGGCCACACUGGGACUGGAACACGGCCCAGACUCCUACGGGAGGCAGCAGUGAGGAAUUUUGCGCAAUGGGGGCAACCCUGACGCAGCAACGCCGCGUGAGUGAUGAAGGCCGNNAGGUUGUAAAGCUCUGUCGCCCCGGAAGAACGUACCGACCAGGAAAUGGGUUGAAUCCGACGGGCANGGGACAGGACGCACGCGCGAACCCCCCGCCACCCCCCGCGGCGCAACCCGGGGG